Molecule: long non-coding RNA, 1005 nt
Filed under: Olea europaea subsp. europaea
Lineage: Eukaryota; Viridiplantae; Streptophyta; Magnoliopsida; Lamiales; Oleaceae
Source: RNAcentral
UCACACGCUGAAAUCACGCUAGUCAUGGUCAUCAAAUCCGGUUGAAAACAACACUCCCUCAUUGAAAGGAACAAACUCAACCCUUCCGAGCACUCCCCAUUCUCAAAAUAGCCCGAGAUCAUUGCAUUCCAUGAAAUCCUAUCCCUCCUGCACAUCCCAUCAAACACCAUCCUCGCACUCCCCGCAUCACCACACUUCACGUACAUAGUGAUCAAAGCAUUUACAACAUCCACAUCCGCCUCAAAUCCAAACCUUAUCAAAUGACCAUGGAUUUCUCUACCCCGUUUCCAAUCCCCCAAACCGCCACAUGUCCUCAACACACAUGGGAAAGUAUACACAUCGGGCUUAAGCCCAACACCACCAACCCAUAACAUUUUCCCAUACAUCUCCAGAGCCUCAUCAAAAUACCCCCUUUUCCCGUACCCCCCGAUCAAAACAUUCCAAGAAAAUAAAUCCCUUUCCUCCAUUUUUCCAAACACGUACCAAGCAUCAUUCAAACUCCCCAGCCUCACAAACAUGCUCAAGAGCGCAUUUCCUAGCCUUAAACUCAAUUGGGUCAUCAACUUCAAUAUGCACGAGUAAAUUAAUGACCCUUCAUUCAAUGCCCUCUUGGAUUCGCAUAGCCUUACUAUAGAAAUAAAGGUUUCUUCCUCUAUAUUAUUCUGAGAGUCAUUUUGCACUGAAGUUACGAAGUUUAUUGCUUCGUGUAGUUGAUUCUGGAGGCAGAGUUGAGUUAAAUAUGAGUUGGGGUCAGUGGUGGAAGAGGAUGUAGAGUUCAAGAGGGAUUUUUUAUGAGUCUUUUUAAGCGAAAAUUGGCGAAUUCUUUGGAAAUUAUGAGGGAAAUUUUGGAUUUUGAGAUUGUGAGAUUUGGUGAAAUGCAAAUUUGGGUGGCGCGGCUGAAGAGAAAUUGCUGGGGUUUUAGAAGAGACUGUCAUUUUGAAGCAUGGCAGCACUGUGGAGGGGGGUUUUAGCAGAGGUUCUAAUUUUUACCAUGUCUGCAAAAAG